This 1231-nucleotide ribosomal RNA is filed under the name metagenome. RNAcentral's name for it is "bacterial LSU rRNA". It matches the Rfam family "Bacterial large subunit ribosomal RNA", at positions 1564 to 2808 of the family's 2925-position model. The record is from RNAcentral.
UGAAUACCAGACGCUACGGCGUUGAAGCAGUGUAUGUCAGACUUCCAAGAAAAGCUCGCAAUGUCCGAAAUAAAAUAAUGCCUGUACCAUAACCGACACAGGUGGGUAGGUAGAGUAUACUAAGGGGCGCGAGAUAACUCUCUCUAAGGAACUCGGCAAAAUAACUCCGUAACUUCGGGAGAAGGAGUGCCUUAUUUUAAGGUUGCAAUAACAAGAUCCAAGCAACUGUUUACCAAAAACACAGGUCUCCGCUAAGUCGUAAGACGAUGUAUGGGGGCUGACGCCUGCCCAGUGCCAGAAGGUUAAAGAAGUUGGUUAGCUAUUGCGAAGCUGAUGACUGAAGCCCUGGUGAACGGCGGCCGUAACAAUAACGGUCCUAAGGUAGCGAAAUUCCUUGUCGGGUUCCGACCCGCACGAAAGGCGUAAUGAUUUGGAUACUGUCUCGGAGAGGGGCUCGGUGAAAUAGACUUGUCUGUGAAGAUGCGGACUACCUGCACCUGGACAGAAAGACCCUAUGAAGCUUUACUGUAACUUGAAAUUGAAAUUGGACUUUAUUUGCGCAGUAUAGGUGGGAGGCGUUUGAAGAUAUUCUUGCGGGAAUGUUGGAGCCAUUAGUGAGAUACCACUCUUGUAAUGUUAGAUUUCUAACUUUGUACCAUAAUCUGGUCAAAGAACAGUUUCAGGCGGGCAGUUUGACUGGGGCGGUCGCCUCCCAAAUGGUAACGGAGGCGUACAAAGGUUUCCUCUGAACGUGUAGAAAUCGUAUCUAGAGUGUAAAGGCAUAAGGAAGCUUGACUGUGAGACCUACAAGUCAAGCAGGGACGAAAGUCGGUCUUAGUGAUCUGACGGUACUGAGUGGAAAGGCCGUCACUCAACGGAUAAAAGUUACUCUAGGAUAACAGGCUGAUCUCCCCCAAGAGUUCACAUCGACGGGGAGGUUUGGCACCUCGAUGUCGGCUCAUCGCAUCCUGGGGCGGUAGUACGUCCCAAGGGUUGGGCUGUUCGCCCAUGAAAGCGGUACGCGAGCUGGGUUCAGAACGUCGUGAGACAGUUCGGUCCAUAUCCGGUGUAGGCGUUAGAAUAUUGAGAGGAGCCUUCUUUAGUACGAGAGGACCGAGAAGGACAUACCUCUGGUGUACCAGUUAUCGUGCCAACGGUAAAUGCUGGGUAGCUAUGUAUGGAGAGGAUAACCGCUGAAAGCAUCUAAGUGGGAAGCCCACCUCGAGAUGAG